AAGGGUGUAGCUCAGUGGUAGAGCACUUGCCUAGUGCACAAGAGUCUGGGUUCCAUCUCCAGCAAUGAAA
RNAcentral lists this transfer RNA (70 nucleotides) under Marmota monax (woodchuck). RNAcentral describes it as "tRNA.Thr". The stretch from base 6 to 64 matches the Rfam family "tRNA", at positions 6 to 65 of the family's 71-position model. Rfam says of the family: Transfer RNA (tRNA) molecules are approximately 80 nucleotides in length. Their secondary structure includes four short double-helical elements and three loops (D, anti-codon, and T loops). Lineage: Eukaryota; Metazoa; Chordata; Mammalia; Rodentia; Sciuridae. The record is from RNAcentral.